GUACACAGGCACAUCACAAUCUGUUGAGGAGAUUGUAAUUUUCAGUCCUUGGAUCCAAGUGCAGGAUGGGAUAAACAACCAGGAACAGAAGGUGAGUGAAGUGUAAAAAUAAAAAACAGUAAGGAAGAAACUCUAUUAAAAGAAGCCCUAUGCGUUUCGUCCAAUAUGGCAAGAACUUCUUUAGGGGCACGAAACAAAAGUCCUUUCCUUCCCACAGCAUACUGGUAUAAGUCCG
Molecule: non-coding RNA, 235 nt
Organism: Pelobates cultripes (western spadefoot toad)
Lineage: Eukaryota; Metazoa; Chordata; Amphibia; Anura; Pelobatidae
Source: the annotation of a GenBank genome assembly